Molecule: long non-coding RNA, 878 nt
Organism: Ochotona princeps (American pika)
Lineage: Eukaryota; Metazoa; Chordata; Mammalia; Lagomorpha; Ochotonidae
Exons: 5
Source: RefSeq, a predicted model, not a curated record
ACACUCCCACUAAUUACAGGUGAAACCCUACAUCCAACUGGCGGGUUCUGCCUAGUUCCCAUUUCUCCUCAUUCCAGAAUCCAGAAGCAGUUGUACAAUCAAAGGAGGAACUCUGCUGCACUCACGGUUAAGGCCAAUGUCGAUACAUGGUUUGCCUUAAGCACAGUGGGGAUUUUUUGGACAUAGAUGGAACAUUCUGAGAGAGAGCGAGUAUGGUUGCCUUUGCCUGGCUAUCCUUGUUCAUCAAAUGAGUCAGUGCUGGAGGUUAGAUCGGCAUCCAUGGAAGUUCUUUUGAAGCUACUAAUUACAUUUCUAAUCUCACAUCAUUUUCACAAGAAAGAUUGCUUUCCAUUACUGGAUAAGGAAACUGAACAGAGUACAUAAGGGAGAGCUAGUUGGGGAUUGGGCCUUCAGGAGAGGAAAAGCUGUGAGAUGGUUGUGCUAUCAUGUUAAUAUGGUUCAUUUCUUCAGCGACUUGAGCGCUGUUGUGGCAUGUUGGGAGAAAAGGCCUUGAAAACUUGCUGGUGUUGGUGAGAAAAUUUGAUGCCUUCCUUGCUAGCAGGUGAGCUCUUGUUUCUUCCAGAAAGCAUCAGUGACUGUGAACACGGAUCACUGCUUGUGUUUACUCUUUCCAACUGUCCUGCCCACCUGUCAAAGUGCUUGCAUCCUGAACCUGUCACGAGGACCUACAGCCAUGCCCUUGGACCUUCCAUCCUUGAGAGUCAAGAACCAAACAAGCCUUUUUCUUUGCAGAAAGUGCUGAAUUAAAAUGAUGACAUCAUGCAUUCCAGUAAUAUCCACCUCUGCAUGUGUUUAAGGAAGAUUCAGGUAUCCUUCUAUCCUAUUUCAAUAAGACUUGUAAUUUCCUGCUAGUCCAA